GUGUAAACAGGCGAUAAGUCAUUCAAGUUUCUGACCUAUCAGCUUUCGACGGUAUGGUAUUGGCUUACCGUGGCAGUGACGGUUAACGGGGGAUUAGGGUUCGAUUCCGGAGAGGGAGCCUGAGAGACGGCUACCACAUCUAAGGAAGGCAGCAGGCGCGCAAAUUACCCAAUUCUAACAGCAUAAGAGAGGUAGUGACAAGAAAUAACAAUACAAGGUAUUUAAAAUGCUUUGUAAUUGGAAUGAUAGAAAUUUAAACACUUUUUAAAGUAUCAAUUGGAGGGCAAGUCUGGUGCCAGCAGCCGCGGUAAUUCCAGCUCCAAUAGCGUAUAUUAAAAUUGUUGCAGUUAAAAAGCUCGUAGUUGAAUUUCUGCUAAAAAUAACCGGUCGGCUUUUAAUAAAAGUGGUAUCCUGGUGUGUUUUUAGCAAUAGCGUCCUUUGAAAUGUUUUUUACUUUAUUGUAAUAAACCAUAUUCAGGAUUUUUACUUUGAGAAAAUUAGAGUGUUUUUAG
This 512-nucleotide ribosomal RNA is filed under the name Hepatozoon ursi. RNAcentral's name for it is "bacterial SSU rRNA". It matches the Rfam family "Eukaryotic small subunit ribosomal RNA", at positions 276 to 780 of the family's 1831-position model. Lineage: Eukaryota; Apicomplexa; Hepatozoidae. The record is from RNAcentral.